Molecule: long non-coding RNA, 3248 nt
Organism: Oncorhynchus nerka (sockeye salmon)
Lineage: Eukaryota; Metazoa; Chordata; Actinopteri; Salmoniformes; Salmonidae
Exons: 8
Source: RefSeq, a predicted model, not a curated record
UGGCAGCUUCCUACUCUAUCUCGAUGUAAACAACAGACAGACAUCAUCAUCCUAUACCAGCUUCCUACUCUAUCUGGAUGUAAACAACAGACGGACAGACAGACAGAUAUCAUCACCCUAUACCAGCUUCCUACUCUAUCUGGAUGUAAACAACAGACAGCCAUCAUCAUCCUAUACCAGCUUCCUACUCUAUCUGGAUGUAAACAACAGACAGACAUCCUCAUCCUAUACCAGCUUCCUACUCUAUCUGGAUGUAAACAACAGACAGACAGACAGAUAUCAUCACCCUGUACCAGCUUCCUACUCUAUCUGGAUGUAAACAACAGACAGACAUCAUCAUCCUAUACCAGGGGCCUGUUGCACAAAAGUAGAAUUAAGACAUCCGGGAUAAAUGACUCAGCUGAGCUCAAUGAAGCCAAAACAUGUGCGUCCAGGCUUAAUUGGUUGCACAAAGACCAAGCCAGGAUGAGCAGACACGGAUUCAUUAAGCCAGGUGAAACCAAUCCUGGAUAGGUGCGCGCUCACGGCUCACUCAAAUAGACCCCGCCACAGAUCACAGAUUAACUGAUUUACCAUGGCAACUAGAGCCGCGUACUUUUCCCCGUCGGAAGCACAAAUCCUCAUGGAGGCAUACGAGGAGGUAAAAUAUAUAAUUAAGAAGAAAGGCAACACCGCCACAGUGAUAAAGCAAAGAGAAAAAGCGUGGCAAAGUAUUGCAGACCGCCUGAAUGCAUUAAACAUGAACGGGCCAAAACGGACAUGGCAGCAGGUCAAAAUCAAAUACAAGAACAUUCUGCAGAAUGCAGUGAAAAAGAAUACCCACAGACAAGGCACGGGUGGUGGGUCACCAAAGGCUGACCUUACCCCAGCAGAGGACAUGGCCUUGGAGCUAAAUAAAGGCAGGCCCGUCUUAGAGGGGAUCCCUGGGGGAAAGAGACGAGCAUAGGUUCCUCCCAAGAUGCCACCCGCUUCAUUCAAGUGCCUGGCAGCACUGUGUUCCUGUUAGAGCCACCAGCACAAGCACCAGACGAUGCUGAUCCAGGUGAAGGCCCCAGUGCAGCAGCAACAGCACAUGAUGGAGACGAUGAUGAGGAGGAGACCAUCUCUCUGGAUUCCAGAAGGCAUGAGGACCCAGAUGCUAUACAGUGGGAAAACCAGCCUGGCAACAUAGUGCGUAUUAAUAAAAGGACACCACAUCCUGCCAAAUUCCAGCUGCGCUAAUUGUAUUGUAUUCACAGAGCUCACAAGCUAUCAGAAAGUUGUAUGGCAACCACCUCCGGCGCCAAAUAGAACUGGCAGACAUAGACAUUCAGUACAAGAAGAAAAAGAUGGAAAAUCUUGCACUGGAGUCCGAAAUAAAAAAAAAGAGGACAAUUAGGAAACUGGACCUUGAAAUAAAAAAACUUGAGAGGGAGGUGAGAUAUGCCUUCAAUGUACACUGUAUGCUAACUGUAACACAAAUGUAUUAAUCAUUAUUUUUCUUUCCUCCCCGGCUCCAAGAAGAUGACACAGCUCAAAAUAAAAAUUAGGUAUAUUCUCGUAAAGUCAAGUGAGCCAUGACAUAUGAGCUCUUAUUGUGAGCACACAGGACGGUGGCAUCUUUCUAAGGUUUUUUUAUUUUCCCAGCAAUCAGUACAACCAAGUCAUCGUUAUAAGGCAUCGCCCUCUUUUGCCCACCCCCAGCACCAGGUGUGGCCACUAGCCUAUAUGAAGGCCCAAAAUUGUGUGUUCCUUUCUGCUCUGACAAUGGCAUGCCCAUUCGUGCGAGAUGUGGUGGAUGAAGAAGCACUUGUGCUGAGGAGAGCCUUCAGGCGAGAAAGGGUCUUCAGGGACCGGUUGGACCCACUGGCCUUCCCUGAUGACCAUCUAUAUGAAAGAUACAGGUUUUCUGCAGAUGGCAUCAGGUAUCUAUGCAGACUACUGGGUCCCAGGAUUAAGCACCGCACUGCACGGAGCCAUGCACUGAGUGUGGAGCAAAUGGUUUGUGUGGCCUUGCGCUUUUUGCUAGUGGAGCCUUCCUGUACUCAGUGGGGGAUGCAGAACAGCUGAACAAGGCCACAAUUUGCCGCACAAUAAGGAGUGUGUGUCUGGCUAUCAAAGCAUUAGCAGAUGUCUUCAUCUCCUUCCCUGGCCACAGAAGACUCUGUGACAUCAAAGAGGAGUUCUAUAGGAUUGCAGGUAAGAGGAUCUACAAAUUACAGGACAACUGUUAACACAUAGUAGGAUACUCAUUACUUUGUGUGACAGGUUUCCCCAAUGUCAUUGGUGCAGUGGACUGCACACACAUAAGGAUAAAAGCCCCCUCAGGUGCCCAUGAGGCCGAUUUUGUGAAUAGGAAAUCCUUUCACAGCAUUAAUGUUCAGAUGGUCUGCAAUGCUGACUGUGUGAUCAGCAAUGUUGUGGCAAAAUGGCCUGGCUCAGUCCAUGACUCCAGAAUCUUUCGGGCCUCUGAAAUCUAUCAGUGCCUAUCACAAGGUGAAUUCUCUGGUGUGUUGCUGGGAGACAGGGGUAUGGCUGCCAGCCUUUUCUCCUGACACCUUUCACAGACCCCCAGGAAGCACAGCAGGCCUACAACCAUGCCCAUGCCAGGACCAGGGCCAGAGUUGAAAUGACCUUUGGCCUCCUGAAGGCACGCUUUCACUGCCUUCACAAAUUAAGGGUCAGCCCUGUUAGGGCAUGUGAUAUUACUGUGGCUUGUGCUGUCCUCCACAAUGUGGCCUGCCUGAGGAAGGAGAGGGCCCCCAGAGUGCCACCAGCCAUGGACUGGGACAAUCCGGCAAUCUUCCCUGAUGACGACAGUGGUCGGCUGCUGAGGGACCAAUAUGUGUUGAAUUAUUUUAGUUAGUAUGUGUGCUUUCAAUUUUGGUUAAAUAUGUCCUGCAGUGGCAGAGGAAUUUGGGUUUUUUUGGGUUCGUUUUUUGACGAAUUUGGCCUCUUAUGAUGUUUGUGCGGUAUACUGUGUGUAAUACAAGGCUGCAGGGAGGCUACUGCAUCCAUUCAUUUGUCUGUUCAGUUGAUGUGUAUGGAUUUGUCCUGCAUUUAUUUUAGUGUGCAGACAUGCAGGGUGUGUUAUAUACAGACCUUUGAAUGUGUCAUGUAUCAUUUUGUAUAAUAUGCUUGGAUUCUGUGCUUUCCAUCUUGUAGAGUCACUGUGACUUCAGUUUCGAAAGGAGCUGAUGGUUUACCUGCUUUGUUUUGUCCUUAUUCAAUAAAGGAACAUAAUGUUACACAUUGUGUUUUUAUAUUCA